CAUCACCGUUAGACUCUGUGGCUGACCUGAAGCCUCUGUGUAAGCGGAUGUCAACAGAGGAGAAUUUUCACAAACAAUUGAGGUCUGCAGCAGAUGCCACAAAGAGGGGGGCAACAAAUACAGAUCAAAGACCACAGCACCUGAAAGAGACAGAAGCCCAAGACACAGAAGGAGCACAACCCCGGAGUCGACCCUGAU
Salmo salar (Atlantic salmon) is the source of this 198-nucleotide non-coding RNA. Lineage: Eukaryota; Metazoa; Chordata; Actinopteri; Salmoniformes; Salmonidae. The record is from RefSeq and is a predicted model, not a curated record.